RNA transcript from Eleginops maclovinus (Patagonian blennie), 6835 nucleotides. RefSeq lists it as uncharacterized. The transcript is spliced from 2 exons. Lineage: Eukaryota; Metazoa; Chordata; Actinopteri; Perciformes; Eleginopidae. The record is from RefSeq and is a predicted model, not a curated record.
UUUUGGUAAUGUGUAAGUUGUGCUAUUGUUAUUUUGGUCAGGCAGUUAAUUGGCCACCUAUGGCUGAGCACUAUAAAGCUGAGGUUUCAUUAGGACCUCUUCCUUUUCUGGCAUCUUCAGGAGUGGGAUCGAAGUCCAGCUGUUGCAGGCUGACUGUUGAAGUAAUUUGAUUCUUUUGUGUUUGAUGGUGUGCGUGCAUCUAGUGGUGAGUUUUUGUGUUUGGGCAUCAUUGUGUAUCAGUUUUUAGUCUAAAAUCAUAACUAUCAUAGGGAUAUUUUAGGUUAAUUUGUAUUUUACCUCAGAUGCUAUUUCAAGCUAAUUUAUGCUAAUCGCGAUUAGCAUGCUAUUGCUAGGUUUGCUAUGUUUAGGCUAAUUUUGGCUAUUUAAUGCUAUGUCAUGCUAGGUGUAGCCUAACUGAUAAUGUAUGGGCGCAAGCCAUAGGUUAGCUUCAUGUUUAGCCUCAUGUUUCAGUUAACUAUUAUUAAGGUUACAUGUAGCCCUGCUAAGUUAGCGAUGCUAAAUACCAUUGUGUUAACUGUAAGGUCAUUCAAGGACAUUAGCCAAAUGUCUUUUGUUUGCUUUCUUUAUUUCAGAACCACACACAUAAAUACAUACAAACUCUGAUCACACAUUGAUCAUUCUUACUCUGUGUUGUGGGUGUGAAGACUCAAUAAAGACUCAUUUCUUUGGACACCGUUUCCUUUUAUUGUUCUAAUCGGACAUUCUACAGUGGUUGCCACCGGAAACAUAGUCUCAGCAUCACAGCUCCUUUAACAAUUCUUUUCAUGGUCCUUCGAGCCGGAUUUGGCAAACUUCUCUAGUUAACAAUGGCAACACCAAAGAAGAGUGAGUCACCCACAACACAUGAAGACCCAGACAGAGACAGGUCAAACUCCCCAGGGCUUGAGAGGUGUGUCCGCAUCCUUUCUGAUGAGAAUGCACUGUUGAGGCGCUGUCUGGACCAAAUGAGGGAGAAAGAUUCUCAUUAUCACACUUCUUCCUACCCCCCUUCAAGGCGUAAUAGCAUGAGAGGCUAUGCUGCAGGCUCCAGAUCAAGCUCGCCGGUUUCACAAUGUAUGGAGACGUCUCCAAGAGAUCAACAGGAUCCGCGUCCUCCAUGGCAUAAAUUAGAACCGACAGCGACUGAGGGCAAGCUACAUGCAAGGGAAAGAGAAGUUGAUGAGAUAGCCAGAGGUCUAGAAAGGAUGGGGCGGCCAUCUAGCCGCGACCGCAGAUCUCCUGAUAGAAACUACCCAAGCAGACAGACAAGUCGCCGCAGAGAAUCACCUCCUCAUUACAGCUCAUCUUCACGGAAGGAUCCUUACCUGGAUUGGCCCCGGCAACAUCGUUCCCGCAGAUCUUCGCCAUCACGGGAACACCAGUAUUCAAGUAUACCUGCUGACUAUUGGCAUGACUAUUCAAGCCAAUACAAAUAUGACACUCCAAGGGGAUAUGAGUCAAGCCGACGCCGCGAACCCUCUUACUCACCUGGGCGUCAUUCUCGACAUCCUUCAGUGGAGAGAGAGCACUCAUAUCGGGGCCCGAAGCCAAAGAUUCCUGACUUCGUUCAUGAAGAUCCUCGUGAGUUCGCAAGACUCAAAGUUGCUCUUGAUAACCUUCUUCCGCCCGAUGCCACAGAGCGCUUCAAGUUUCAGAUUCUACUGGAUCACCUCAAACUGGAAGAGGCAAUGCUCAUCGCUGAUUCAUACAGUCACAGCAGGGAUCCAUAUACUGACACCAUGGAGGCUCUCACAGAGUUAUAUGGUCAACCGCACCAACUUGCACUUCAGCGCAUCUCCAAGCUCAUGGAGGAGCCGAACGUCAAGGCAGGUGACACUAAGGCCUUUCGUCAAUUCGCACUGAAAGUGCGCGCUUUAGUAGGGAUGUUGGAGCAACUUGGCAGCAGUGGAAGAACCGAACUGUGGUGUGGAUCUCAUGUUUCACGGCUUCUGGGAAAGUUGCCUCAUGAUUUAAGAGCAAGCUUUAGGAGGUAUAUCAAUCCCAUAAGAACUCCCAUUCCAACUCUUCUCGACCUAGCUGACUGGCUAGAAUAUGAGGUAAGGGUGCAAGUUGAUGGUUCACAGUUCACUGGUGAUCACGGUAAGGAACAUCAGAGCUACAAAGAACACCGCAAGGACCGAAAGUCACAGUCCACAAUGGUUCUUCACAACAGUGAGCCAAAAGAGUGUCCAUCUCAGUUACAGUCAAGUAGUUCAGAUCAGCCACGAGAAAAGCCCAAGAAAUUCUGCCCAUUUUGCAACACACCUCAGCACUAUCUGAAUCAGUGUGCAAAUUUUCAGUUACUGUCCAAGGAGCAGAUCGAGAAAUGGAUCCGGGCCAAUCAGAGGUGUUGGAAGUGUGGACGCGAACACUUCUCUUCCGAGUGCACUUUGAAGGCUAAAUGUAAGAAAUGCGACAAGCGACAUCUUGAAAUCCUUCAUGAGGUGAACACCGGAGGUAGCGGUAAGACCACCACUUUCAGGAAAGCCACAACUGGAUCCAUGGAGCGUGCCAAACCCACCAGCUCCACUGCUGAAACCCUCUAUGUGGACAGACCUACUGGUAGCAGCAGGGUGCUACUGAAGAUGAGUCGGGUCAUCCUAAAGAAUGGUGAGAACUCAUUGGACACAUAUGCACUGCUAGAUGAUGGCUCGGAGCGCACCAUCUUACUGUAUGAAGCGGCACAACAGCUCGGCCUACAAGGUUUACCUGAGGAGCUGUCCUUGCGUACAGUGCGUCAAGAUGUGCGAGUCAUCCCUGGAGCCACAGUGUCGUUCACAGUUUCACCUGCAAACCAACCAAGUAAGACCUUCCACAUUCAAAGAGCAUUCACAGCCAAAGAGCUAGGUCUGGCACCCCAUACUUACCCUGUUGCGGCCCUCAAGAAGUCAUAUUGUCACUUGAAGAACUUACCUCUGCAGCCCAUUGACCGUGCGCAGCCCUUGCUGCUCAUUGGAUCGGACCAUCCACACCUCAUAACCCCAACUGAACCUGUUCGCCUGGGCCCACCGGGAGGGCCGGCUGCGGUCAAGACCAAGUUGGGAUGGGCACUCCAAGGUCCUUCUAAGCUGCUGAGGCACAGCCUGACCACUCAGCAAUGCCUUUGGACAUCGAGCACUCCGACCACCGCUGAGUUACUCGGUCAUGUCGAAAAGCUAUGGCAAUUAGACACUUUGCCUUACCGGAGUGAGAAGCUUGUGACACGCUCAAGACAAGACACAGAGGCAGUACGUAUUCUGGAGGAGAAGACCGUUAGGGUGACGGUAGAGGGAGUUCAGCGGUACGCCACUCCUCUGCUCUGGAAAAAGGACCUCCCCCCACUGGUUGCGCCUAAGGAAGCUGUGAUGGCCCAACUGCGCAGUACGGAGAAGAGGCUGGCUGGGGAUCCUGAUAAGGCGGCUACCUACAAGGGUGAGAUCAAGAAGCUGGUGGAAGCUGGGUAUGUGAAGAAGAUACCCCUGGAUGAGGCAGCUAGUAGUCCGGGGUGGUAUAUCCCCCACCACAUGGUCCACCAUAAUGGAAAGAAUAGAAUAGUGUUCAACUGUUCUUUCUCCUUCAAGGGCAUCAGCUUGAAUGAUCACCUGCUCCCUGGACCUGUGCUGGGUGCUACCCUAAUAGGUGUUCUCAUCCGAUUCCGUGAACAUCCCUUUGCGAUCAGUUCGGAUAUAAAGGGCAUGUUUCAUCAAGUCCGCCUUCUCCCAGAGGACCAGCCACUCUUGAGAUUCCUUUGGAGAGAGAUGAGGAGGAACGACCCCCCGGACAUCUACCAGUGGCAGGUCCUGCCUUUCGGCACUACAUCAAGCCCCUGCUGUGCCACAUUUGCUCUCCAGAAGCAUGUGACUGACCACGCAGGACCUGGAGACAAGUUGCGCACAUCAGUGGAACAAUGCUUCUACGUGGACAAUUGUCUACAAAGUCUACGUACUGCUGAAGGAGCGAAACAGCUGGUGGAUGAUCUUCGCAGUCUUCUGGCCAAGGGUGGUUUUGACCUGCGACAAUGGGCCAGCAACUGCCCUAGCAUAAUCAGCCACCUGCCCCCCGAGUCCAGGUCAGAAAGUAGCGAACUCUGGUUCAACCACGAUACAGCUGACCCAGAGGAGCGCACCCUCGGACUAAUAUGGCACUGUCAAUUAGACAGCAUCGGCUUCAAGCAUGGCCAGCUGGAGCUGGACCCUCAGCCCACAAUGCGAAGCAUUUACAGGACCCUCGCUAAGCAGUACGACCCACUUGGCUUCAUUGUGCCCUUCACCACUAGGGCCAAGAUCUUGGUACAGCGACUCUGGGAUCGUAAACGGGAAUGGGAUGAUCCAGACUUACCUCAAGAUCUCCUGCAAGCAUGGUCUUCCUGGGUGGAGGAACUUCCGCAGCUGUCCAGCAUUACACUGCCUAGAUGCUACACCGCAGGAGAACUGGAUCUCACUACCUGCAAUCGGAGCGUCCACGUCUUCUGUGAUGCGUCUGAAAAAGCAUACGGCUCUGUGGCGUAUCUUCGCACGCAGGAUGGCAGUGGACGCACCCAAGUUGCCUUCAUUGCAGCCCGGUCAAGAGUGGCCCCCAAACGGCAACUAUCUAUUCCCCGGCUGGAGCUCUGUGCUGCCGUGACAGGUGCUCAACUGGCAUCAGUCCUGAAGAGAGAGUUGACCCUGGAUAUCCACUGCUACACCUACUGGACCGAUUCAACGACAGUACUUACCUGGCUGAAUUCCGAAUCCUGCAAGUACAAAGUCUUCGUGGGCACUAGGAUUGCUGAGAUUCAGGAAUUGACAGAUGCUGAAACCUGGCGCUAUGUCGACACCCAGAGGAAUCCAGCUGAUGACAUUACAAGAGGGAAGACCCUGUCACAGCUGGCAGAAUGCCCCCAUUGGUUCCAAGGCCCAGAUUUCCUUAGACAGCCAGAAACUUCAUGGCCUGAACAGCCAUCAGGAAAUCCUGCUGAGGUCCCUGAAGAGAUGCGGAAACAAACCUUUUGCGGAGCCACAACCGUCGACAGUGGUCCACCUCUACUUGACAUCGGUCAAUACAGCACCUUCCAGGAACUCCUUGAAGCGGUAGCCUGCUCACCUCACGGGGUGGCUUCUGAUACGGAGAGUACGUCAGCGGCUGACUUAAGGAAAGCUGAGCUGGAUGUUCUUCGUCAAGCCCAGAUCGAAAGUUUCCCAGAUGACAUGACACAGCUACUGUCUGGAAACCCUGUCACAUCAAACAGUAAGCUAGUCACGCUAGCCCCUGAGCUUGACCCCAACACUCAGCUCAUUCAUGUUGGAGGCCGUCUGCGUAGAUGUGAUCAGCUAAGUCAAGAAGUACAGCACCCAAUUGUACUUGAUCCUUCCCAUCCUCUCUCAAAGCUGAUUAUUAAGCGCUACGACCAAGACCUGCACCAUCCUGGUCCGGAGAGAGUAUUUGCGGAGAUCAGGCGGCGCUUUUGGAUCCUGAGAGGCAGGCAGGCAAUUCGCAAAUUCCAACACAGUUGCCCCGAAUGUCGUAAGUGGCGCGGAACGCCUGAGGUCCCAAGAAUGGCCGAUUUGCCCCCCUCCAGUCUCCGGCUCUACAAGCCAGCAUUUUACUCCACCGGAAUCGACUGUUUUGGUCCCUUUCAGAUCAGAGUCGGGAGGCGAAAUGAAAAGCGCUGGGGCAUAUUGUAUAAGUGCCUUACUACCAAGGCAGUCUACAUUGAUCUGCUAGCAAGCAUUGACUCUGAUUCUUUCCUCAUGUCACUCCGGCGAUUCGUGUCAAGAAGAGGAAAGCCACAUGAGAUUCUCUGUGAUAAUGGAACGAAUUUCAAGGGUGGAGAUACCGAACUGAAGGAGGCAUUUCAGGCCCUCCAACCAGCUCUGAAGGAGCAGCUGACUGCACAACAGAUCGCUUUCCAGUACAACCCGCCAAGUGCUCCCCACUUUGGCGGCUCUUGGGAAAGGGAAAUACGGUCCAUAAAGGCAGCACUGUACACCGUUGUUGGAGCGCAGACCGUGCCAGAAGAAGUACUCAGGACAGUCCUGGUUGAGAUUGAAGGCAUUCUUAACUCCAAGCCUUUGGGUUACGUAUCCUCAGACGUCUCAGAUCCAGACCCCGUGACUCCAAAUACUCUUCUCAUGGGGCGGCCCGACAGCUCUCUACCUCAGGUGAUCUACCCAGAGUCUGAGCUACUCACUCGCAGGAGAUGGCGGCACAGUCAAGUUCUGGCUGACCAGUUUUGGUCCAGAUUCAUCCGACAGUACUUGCCUGCCCAACAGACACGUCAGAAGUGGCAAAAGGAGAAAGACGAUUUGACCGUCGGCACAGUCGUAAUGAUUGUGGAUCCUCAGUCUCCAAGGGCCCUCUGGCUUGUUGGAACAGUGAAGACGGUCUGCCCUGGCUCCGAUGGAAGAGUAAGGGCAGCAGAAGUUAAAGUGAAGGAUCGCACCUAUCUUCGCCCGGUGGCUAGACUGAUUAAGUUGCCUGCAUUUCCAGACGACCAUGGAGAGAAGGACUUUUAGAAGCAAAUCCGUACAACAGAUUUGGGGGCGGCUGUACAAAAGCCCAUCGAUUCAUAUUAUUUUGGUAAUGUGUAAGUUGUGCUAUUGUUAUUUUGGUCAGGCAGUUAAUUGGCCACCUAUGGCUGAGCACUAUAAAGCUGAGGUUUCAUUAGGACCUCUUCCUUUUCUGGCAUCUUCAGGAGUGGGAUCGAAGUCCAGCUGUUGCAGGCUGACUGUUGAAGUAAUUUGAUUCUUUUGUGUUUGAUGGUGUGCGUGCAUCUAGUGAACCACACACAUAAAUACAUACAAACUCUGAUCACACAUUGAUCAUUCUUACUCUGUGUUGUGGGUGUGAAGACUCAAUAAAGACUCAUUUCUUUGGA